CCUACGGGUGGCAGCAGUGAGGAAUAUUGGUCAAUGGACGAGAGUCUGAACCAGCCAAGUAGCGUGAAGGAUGACUGCCCUAUGGGUUGUAAACUUCUUUUAUAUGGGAAUAAAACGUUCCACGUGUGGGAUUUUGUAUGUACCCUAUGAAUAAGGAUCGGCUAACUCCGUGCCAGCAGCCGCGGUAAUACGGCGGAUCCGAGCGUUAUCCGGAUUUAUUGGGUUUAAAGGGAGCGUAGGUGGAUUGUUAAGUCAGUUGUGAAAGUUUGCGGCUCAACCGUAAAAUUGCAGUUGAAACUGGCAGUCUUGAGUACAGUAGAGGUGGGCGGAAUUCGUGGUGUAGCGGUGAAAUGCUUAGAUAUCACGAAGAACUCCGAUUGCGAAGGCAGUUCACUGGACUGCAACUGACACUGAGGCUCGAAAGUGUGGGUAUCAAACAGGAUUAGAUACCCGUGUAGUC
This 460-nucleotide ribosomal RNA is filed under the name uncultured bacterium. Its description in RNAcentral is "partial 16S ribosomal RNA". It matches the Rfam family "Bacterial small subunit ribosomal RNA", at positions 338 to 795 of the family's 1533-position model. The record is from RNAcentral.